Molecule: ribosomal RNA, 178 nt
Filed under: uncultured bacterium
Lineage: Bacteria
Description: partial 16S ribosomal RNA
Rfam family: Bacterial small subunit ribosomal RNA
Source: RNAcentral
AUUACUCCUACGGGAGGCAGCAGUGAGGAAUAUUGGACAAUGGGCGAAAGCCUGAUCCAGCAAUGCCGCGUGAGUGAUGAAGGCCCUAGGGUUGUAAAGCUCUUUUACCCGGGAUGAUAAUGACAGUACCGGGAGAAUAAGCUCCGGCUAACUCCGUGCCAGCAGCCGCGGUAAUAAU